Molecule: ribosomal RNA, 253 nt
Filed under: uncultured bacterium
Lineage: Bacteria
Description: partial 16S ribosomal RNA
Rfam family: Bacterial small subunit ribosomal RNA
Source: RNAcentral
UACGGGGGGGGCAAGCGUUGUUCGGAAUUACUGGGCGUAAAGAGUGUGUAGGCGGUGUUCCCAGUCUGUUGUGAAAUCUCCCGGCUUAACUGGGAGGGUGCAGCGGAAACUAGAAUGCUAGAGGGUGGGAGAGGUAAGCGGAAUUCCUGGUGUAGCGGUGAAAUGCGUAGAUAUCAGGAGGAACACCUGUGGUGUAGGCAGCUUACUGGACCACUUCUGACGCUGAGACACGAAAGCGUGGGUAGCAAACAGG